Molecule: ribosomal RNA, 301 nt
Filed under: uncultured bacterium
Lineage: Bacteria
Description: partial 16S ribosomal RNA
Rfam family: Bacterial small subunit ribosomal RNA
Source: RNAcentral
CAGUAGCCACGGUAAUACGAAGGGGGCUAGCGUUGCUCGGAAUUACUGGGCGUAAAGGGAGCGUAGGCGGAUCGUUUAGUCAGGGGUGAAAUCCCGGGGCUCAACCUCGGAACUGCCUUUGAUACUGGCGAUCUUGAGUAUGGGAGAGGUGUGUGGAACUCCGAGUGUAGAGGUGAAAUUCGUAGAUAUUCGGGAGAACACCAGUGACGAAGGCGACACACUGGCCCAUUGCUGACGCUGAGGCUCGAAAGCGUGGGGAGCAAACAGGAUUAGAUACCCCCGUAGUCCCUGUCUCUUAUAC